Molecule: ribosomal RNA, 429 nt
Filed under: Verrucomicrobiota bacterium
Lineage: Bacteria; Pseudomonadati; Verrucomicrobiota
Description: Verrucomicrobia bacterium partial 16S ribosomal RNA
Rfam family: Bacterial small subunit ribosomal RNA
Source: RNAcentral
UAGGGAAUCUUCCGCAAUGGACGAAAGUCUGACGGAGCAACGCCGCGUGAGUGAAGAAGGAUUUCGGUUCGUAAAACUCUGUUGUUAGGGAAGAAAAAAUGUAUAGUAACUAUAUACAAAAGAGACGGUACCUAACCAGAAAGCCACGGCUAACUACGUGCCAGCAGCCGCGGUAAUACGUAGGUGGCAAGCGUUGUCCGGAAUUAUUGGGCGUAAAGCGCGCGCAGGUGGUUUAGAAAGUCUGAUGUGAAAGCCCACGGCUCAACCGUGGAGGGUUAUUGGAAACUAAUAAACCUGAGUGCAGGGGAGAAAAGUGGAAUUCCCAGUGUAGCGGUGAAAUGCCUAGAGAUUAAGAGGAACACCGGUGGCGAAAGCGGCUUUUUGGCCUGGAACUGACACUGAGGCGCGAAAGGGUGGGGAGCAAACAGG